GCUCAACCAGGGAGGGUCAUUGGAAACUGGGAAACUUGAGUGCAGAAGAGGAGAGUGGAAUUCCACGUGUAGCGGUGAAAUGCGUAGAGAUGUGGAGGAACACCAGUGGCGAAGGCGACUCUCUGGUCUGUAACUGACGCUGAGGAGCGAAAGCGUGGGGAGCGAACAGGAUUAGAUACCCUGGUAGUCCACGCCGUAAACGAUGAGUGCUAAGUGUCAGGGGGUUUCCGCCCCUUAGUGCUGCAGCUAACGCAUUAAGCACUCCGCCUGGGGAGUACGGUCGCAAGACUGAAACUCAAAGGAAUUGACGGGGGCCCGCACAAGCGGUGGAGCAUGUGGUUUAAUUCGAAGCAACGCGAAGAACCUUACCAGGUCUUGACAUCCUCUGACAACCCUAGAGAUAGGGCUUUCCCUUCGGGGACAGAGUGACAGGUGGUGCAUGGUUGUCGUCAGCUCGUGUCGUGAGAUGUUGGGUUAAGUCCCGCAACGAGCGCAACCCUUGAUCUUAGUUGCCAGCAUUCAGUUGGGCACUCUAAGGUGACUGCCGGUGACAAACCGGAGGAAGGUGGGGAUGACGUCAAAUCAUCAUGCCCCUUAUGACCUGGGCUACACACGUGCUACAAUGGACAGAACAAAG
Molecule: ribosomal RNA, 637 nt
Filed under: uncultured bacterium
Lineage: Bacteria
Description: bacterial SSU rRNA
Rfam family: Bacterial small subunit ribosomal RNA
Source: RNAcentral